This 521-nucleotide ribosomal RNA is filed under the name Zanchius sp. WCW-2003. RNAcentral describes it as "partial 16S ribosomal RNA". It matches the Rfam family "Bacterial large subunit ribosomal RNA", at positions 1809 to 2610 of the family's 2925-position model. Lineage: Eukaryota; Metazoa; Arthropoda; Insecta; Hemiptera; Miridae. The record is from RNAcentral.
AAAAACAUGUUCUUUUGUUUAAAUAAAAGAUUUAACCUGCCCAAUGAAUUUUUAAUGGCUGCAGUAUUUUGACUGUACAAAGGUAGCAUAAUCAUUUGUCCUUUAAUUGAGGUCUGGAAUGAAUGGUUUGAUGAAAAAAAUUCUUUCUUUAUUUUUUUAUAAAAAUUUAAUUUUUAAGUUAAAAAGCUUAAAUAUUUUUGUGGGACGAGAAGACCCUAUAGAACUUUAUUUAUAAAUUAUAUAAUUGCUAUGGGAAAUGAUUUAUUUAUAUAUAUAUUAAAUUGUGUUGGGGUGACAAAAAAAAUUCUAAAACUUUUUUUAUUUUUUACAUAUAUCUAUGUAUAUUUGAUCCUUUUUUAGGAAAAAAGAUCAAGUUACCUUAGGGAUAACAGCGUUAUUAUCUUGGAGAGUUCUUAUCAAUAAGAUAGUUUGCGACCUCGAUGUUGGAUUAAAAUAAGAUAUAGGGGUAUAAUAUUAUAUUCUGGGUCUGUUCGACCUUUAAAUUUUUACAUGAUCUGAGU